GGUAAAACUUCUCUAGGCCCCGAAAUAAAGGACAAAGUUGGCAGAGAGUGAGUGCAGGAGACAGAGCAGAGCUCAAACAGGAAGAAACAGUCUCCAGCCUCACCAGCCCAGGACCUGGGAGCCAUCUCUUUGAAAUGUCAUCAAAGGAGAUAGUGGAGUUAUCUCCUAGUCCCUAUGGGAAGGAACCUCCUGAAAAAUGCGCUAUCAAGAAGAGAUGUGCCAAGAAAUAGGGAAGUUAGAGGAUCUGGGAAACAUAAGAUUCCGACUCCGGGGAAGGGAAACGCCAUACCAGCAGCUGUACCAGAAGGCCUGGAGGGCAGCCUGUCCAGGAUGAAGAAGUUCAGAGGCUCUUCCAGAGGUGCUCCCAUGAAACAAAAUUAAUAAAUUGCCCAAGGAGUUCCAACA
Long non-coding RNA from Hyaena hyaena (striped hyena), 405 nucleotides. RefSeq lists it as uncharacterized. The transcript is spliced from 3 exons. Lineage: Eukaryota; Metazoa; Chordata; Mammalia; Carnivora; Hyaenidae. The record is from RefSeq and is a predicted model, not a curated record.